This is a non-coding RNA of Ictidomys tridecemlineatus (thirteen-lined ground squirrel), 2004 nucleotides long. The record is from RefSeq and is a predicted model, not a curated record. NCBI's taxonomy places the organism in Eukaryota, Metazoa, Chordata, Mammalia, Rodentia, Sciuridae.
CCACAGGAGGAUGUACCUGCGGGUGAGGGCCUGACUGGUCCUAGGCUAGGUGUGCAGCCCAGUCCGCAGGUGCUGCCUGCUGAGCCCCGCCGGGCUGUGGGCCCCACUGAAAGAAACCAGGGUCUAGAAGCUGGAGAGCUCCUUACUCAGUGAAAGUGAGAAAUUCCCAGUCAGGUCUCCUGAGCGCAGAGGUGGAUAAAAGCCUCCGGAGAAGAGUGAGAGAAAAACUGGCUCUCCACUGCCUUAGUGAACAGGAGAGGUUGAAGGAGGUGCUUGCCAGGGAAUAGAAGGGUUUAAGUGUAGCGUCCUCUGCCCACCAAUUGCUUCCUGAAGGGAUCAGAGGAAGAAGGCUGUUUCCAGAUCUCCCUGGGAAAGGGUUCAAUGGCACCUUCUCCUCUAAAGGACAAAGAGAACAGAUCGCUGCUGUGGACCUACUGUGGAAGUGACUUUGCUGCCUACUGAAAGCCAAACAACACCUUGGGCUCCAGGGGGAAGCCCAGUUCCCCCAAACACAAGAAGUGGGACCUCCUACAAGUCUUUGGAUCUCAGUGUUUGUCUGUCUGGGUGUUCCCCGCCUGCAGAAUGGCCAUCACAGGGAAAGUGCUUGCCCCCUGGGGUUUCUCUCCUCGCUGAACUGUCCUAGGGGGAAACUCUCAGGACAGUUCAUCUUGGUGAGGAUUUUCCUCUCCAAUAGACUGCAUUUUAUAACUAAACCUAUUUCUCUAGUGGGGAAAAGGAACUAAGGAGAGUGGGAUAUCUGAUCGACGAUUUGACAGUCUGAUCCCAAGGCCAAGAGGUUCAAGAACGAAUUCUGCAAGGAGGCUUCCAAGACCCAAUGACUGGGUGAUAAAUUCACCCCUACACUCGGUGUGGAAAUGGGGGACGCUCUCCUGGGCAGGUAUCCCGAGGCUCACCUGGGUGGAGCUCAUCCUGUCUCCAGUUCAGGAACAACUUUGAGAAAUCCAAAAUCCCAAAAUCUUUUGGGUGGAACUCUGUAGCGCACAGAAGCGGGAGAGACUUCUCCCGUCUUGGAGGGGCCGUCAAGGUCUGCAUCGAUUGUAUUGACCUCGGGGUGGGCUGGCUUGUCUCCUUUAUCGAUCACAUGAACGAAGUCUGGGACAAAAUAUAGGCGAAAGGAAAUCAUCGCAGGCGUCUUUGCAAAGCUGGUGGAAAGUGGCCCAGCCCGCCGGGAGCACCCGCGGGUGAUCGGAGAGGUUUCACCCCCGCGCAUCGCAUGGAGCUUCUCUUCCCAUCCUGCCUCAUUAUGUCUCUGAUCUUUUUUUUUUUUAAAGUUAUGUCCUAUUCAAAAAGAAAUUAAACAAGAAUUAGUUUAUUCAAUCAGCAAACAUUUGAUGAUCACAAAACACGUCCCAGAGACUGAGCUGAAUUUUGGGGAUACUAAUGGAGGGAGGGAUCUGUACAGCAGAAACCCUGUGGGGGAGGGGCGAAUUCUUUUGUAGUCAUUUCUUAAAGAUGUGACUUGGAGAGACACUCCUUAGCUCUCUAGCCCAUAGUUUUCAGUGAAAGAAGAGCUGCAUUACUGCCUAUUGGUAGGCAAAGAGGUUAGAUCCUUUGAGCUCAGAACCCAGACAGGCAGAUCCAAGACAGUCCUUUGAGAAACCCAUGGUUGGGAUUAGACUUUGAUCAUUCCUGGUGCCUGGGUAGACCCGGCCCUUCAUGUCAGGGAUGUCCUCAAGAUUUUCAAAACUCUCAAAUGCUGUCUCUUCUGGAGAGUGGGAACCACUCAGCACAACCUCCACAAACAGCCGUGGAGAGCUGGCCAAUUUAGCUCUGCCUUUCUGCUCUAAGACCUUGAAACAACCUCCCAGCUCCCCACCCUUUCUGGAUGGACCUCAAUCUAACCCAUCUUCAAAAGAGGAAUAGUAUGGUAAACAAAACUCAAAACAGCAAGCAUCGAGCUUGAGCUUGUAUUCACCUUGAGUUUCCAGCCCUUCCAAAGAUACCUGGCUCCCAGAAUCCUCUUAAUAAAUAUCUGUGGCAUGA